RNAcentral lists this ribosomal RNA (253 nucleotides) under uncultured bacterium. Its description in RNAcentral is "partial 16S ribosomal RNA". It matches the Rfam family "Bacterial small subunit ribosomal RNA", at positions 524 to 776 of the family's 1533-position model. The record is from RNAcentral.
UACGUAGGGCGCAAGCGUUAUCCGGAAUUAUUGGGCGUAAAGAGCUCGUAGGCGGUUUGUCGCGUCUGCCGUGAAAGUCCGGGGCUCAACUCCGGAUCUGCGGUGGGUACGGGCAGACUAGAGUGUGGUAGGGGAGACUGGAAUUCCUGGUGUAGCGGUGAAAUGCGCAGAUAUCAGGAGGAACACCGAUGGCGAAGGCAGGUCUCUGGGCCAUAACUGACGCUGAGAAGCGAAAGCAUGUGGAGCGAACAGG